GCGGACGUGGUGAAAUUGGUAGACACACUGGUCUUAGAAGCCAGAGCCCUUGGGCGUGGGAGUUCGAGUCUCUUCGUCCGCACCA
This 85-nucleotide transfer RNA is filed under the name Spirobacillus cienkowskii. Its description in RNAcentral is "tRNA-Leu". It matches the Rfam family "tRNA". Rfam says of the family: Transfer RNA (tRNA) molecules are approximately 80 nucleotides in length. Their secondary structure includes four short double-helical elements and three loops (D, anti-codon, and T loops). Lineage: Bacteria; Pseudomonadati; Bdellovibrionota; Oligoflexia; Silvanigrellales. The record is from RNAcentral.